GGAACACAGGCCCGGCUGAUGAAACAAGUCGAAGUUACGGAGUAGGGAUUUCAGGAAGGCGCUUUCACGGGAGCCACUCUGGCUAUCAUAGCCCUGCACUUUCUCUCUUCUUGGGCCCAGAAAGCAGACACAAGAGUCUUGCUGUGCGAGGCACCAAGCACUGGAUGAGCACAUGGUGGAUUCUUAACCACUGGACCACCAGGGAAGGCCACUUUGUUUUUUAAAAAAUAAGCCUUAGCUGGCUAAGGUAUAGACUAAAGUCUGCUAACGAAGUAACUACCAUCCAAAACCCUCCAACCCCCACACCUUGCUUCCCUCAAGUGCGUGAGAAUUGGCAGUUAGCCCUCCUGCCUGUGGGCUCUCCCCUGCUGCUAAGUUGCUUCAGUCGUGUCCGACUCUGCGCGACCUCAUAGACGGCAGCCCACCAGGCUCCCCUGCCCCUGGGAUUCUCCAGGCAAGAACACUGGAGUGGGUUGCCAUUUCCUUCCCCAAUUCAUGAAAGUGAAAAGUGAAAGUGAAGUCUCUCAGUCAUGUCCCACUCUUCGCGACCCCAUGGACUGCAGCCCACCAGGCUCCUCCGUCAUGGGAUUUUCCAGGCAAGAGUACUGGAGUGGGGUGCCAUUGCCUUCUCCGGGCUCUCCCCUUCCAACUGUGAAAUCUUCCCUUCCUUGGUUCUGCUUACCAGCCCUACCACAGACCUACCUUACUAGAUAAAAGCGCAGGUCGAUAAAUGAAUCAGUGGGGUACCAAGCCCAGGCUUCCAUCAUGGCCCACUGGCAGCCUUUGGCCCAAGGUCUUUAGGCCUCACCUGACCCUUUGGCAUCCUAAAGGGCACAGUCAAGCCCCUGGCUGAGCUGCAGGCCCUCAAGCCCCACCAGCCUCUGUAGGGCUGAUUCAUGUGGCCUGGUCGUGUCUUUGGAUUUGGACUUGGAAAUCUCACAGGUUGGGGUCAAAGCCCACCCUGCAUCCUACCCAGAGCUGCCCAAGAGAAAAAAAAGCUGCAUCCCUGAGAGUGUGUCUGCUGAGCCGCCAUGAGAGAAUGUGGAGGAGCCCCUGGAAAACAAAACUCUGUGACUGGAAUGAGGCAGCAGAGUAGCCACCGCUGCUGUGGGAAUUUUCUCUAAGAUCAGCAU
Molecule: long non-coding RNA, 1133 nt
Organism: Bos taurus (domestic cattle)
Lineage: Eukaryota; Metazoa; Chordata; Mammalia; Artiodactyla; Bovidae
Source: Ensembl